ACCACAAUUCAAGAUGCUAUAACUGAUACAAUGCAAUAGGAUCAUAGAGCCCGUUGACCACGUAGAGAGCUUUAAAGCUCUAAUACUCCUCCAUAGAGCAACCAAUGCGAUUAUUUGUCAGACAUUCCUGUCUACUUUGCUAAAAAAUAGUGGAAUUGAUAUUCGAGCCUUUAGCCUAGCUCAAUUAACUUCUUUGAAAAGCUUAAUCAACUAUUUAUGACUCACUUCAUCAGAAGUCACCAAUAGUAUUAUGGCUCCAACUCGCUUAUUAGCAUCAAACAACAAGAGAACGAGUCUCUCUAGAAGUAUAUUAGUUGUUUCAAUAUCGCCACCCUCAAAUUAAGUGACUUCGAUCAAUCAGUAGCCAUAAUUGCUCUCAAAGGUGGGCUACUUAAGAAUGCUUUCCUCGUUUCACCCAAGAAGUACUCCAAGAACUUCGCCAAAAUAUUGGCAUGAGUGAAGAAGUACAUGAAUGUGGAGGAGGCAUAAGCUCGAUAUAGAGAACACCCGAACAAUGAGCCCUAAGGAAAGAAAGAAGAUGGUGAGCUUAGGAGUGGGAGACAUAAGCGUGAAAAGGCAGC
RNAcentral lists this long non-coding RNA (581 nucleotides) under Elaeis guineensis (African oil palm). RNAcentral's name for it is "long non-coding RNA (EGUI_LNC034425)". Lineage: Eukaryota; Viridiplantae; Streptophyta; Magnoliopsida; Arecales; Arecaceae. The record is from RNAcentral.